This 468-nucleotide ribosomal RNA is filed under the name uncultured bacterium. RNAcentral describes it as "partial 16S ribosomal RNA". It matches the Rfam family "Bacterial small subunit ribosomal RNA", at positions 28 to 507 of the family's 1533-position model. The record is from RNAcentral.
GAUGAACGCUGGCGGCGUGCUUAACACAUGCAAGUCGAACGGUGAAGGCGGAGCUUGCUCUGCUGGAUCAGUGGCGAACGGGUGAGUAACACUUGAGCAAUCUGCCCCUGACUCUGGGAUAAGCGCUGGAACCGGCGUCUAAUACUGGAUACGAGCUGCGAAGGCAUCUUCAGCAGCUGGAAAGAACUUCGGUCAGGGAUGAGCUCGCGGCCUAUCAGCUUGUUGGUGAGGUAACGGCUCACCAAGGCGUCGACGGGUAGCCGGCCUGAGAGGGUGACCGGCCACACUGGGACUGAGACACGGCCCAGACUCCUACGGGAGGCAGCAGUGGGGAAUAUUGCACAAUGGGCGAAAGCCUGAUGCAGCAACGCCGCGUGAGGGACGACGGCCUUCGGGUUGUAAACCUCUUUUAGCAGGGAAGAAGCGAAAGUGACGGUACCUGCAGAAAAAGCGCCAGCUAACUACGUG